RNAcentral lists this ribosomal RNA (1559 nucleotides) under Paremballonura atrata (Peters's sheath-tailed bat). Its description in RNAcentral is "16S ribosomal RNA". It matches the Rfam family "Bacterial large subunit ribosomal RNA", at positions 426 to 2925 of the family's 2925-position model. Lineage: Eukaryota; Metazoa; Chordata; Mammalia; Chiroptera; Emballonuridae. The record is from RNAcentral.
ACUAAUUCUAGCUCGAACAUAUUAAACUCAACUAAUAAUAAUAACAAUUAAAUAAAACAUUUAUAAAUAAUUAAAGUAUAGGAGAUAGAAAUUCUAAUCGACGCAAUAGAGACAGUACCGCAAGGGAAUAAUAAUUAAAAAGUAAAAAAAAGCAAAGAUUACCUCUUCUACCUUUUGCAUAAUGAUCUAACUAGAAUAAGCUUAACAAAAAGACUUGAAGUUAAGCACCCCGAAACCAGACGAGCUAUCUGAAGACAGCCUAUAAGGGCAAAUUCAUCUAUGUGGCAAAAUAGUGAAAAGAUCUUCAGCUAGAGGCGAAAAACCAACCGAGCCUGGUGAUAGCUGGUUGUCCAGAAAAUGAAUUUUAGUUCAAAUUUAAACUUACCAAAAAUACCUUAAACUUUAAUGUAAGUUUAAAUACUAGUCUGAAGAGGUACAGCUCUUCAGAUACAGGAUACAACCUUUACUAGAGAGUAAUAUAUAAUACAAACCAUAGUAGGCCUAAAAGCAGCCACCAAUUARGAAAGCGUUAAAGCUCAACGAAACAUAUAUCUUAAUUCCACUAGUACACCCCAACUCCUAGUCUAAUCCUGGACCACUCUAUUAUAUACUAGAAGAGACACUGUUAGUAUGAGUAACAAGAAAUAGUUUCUCCUCCGCACAAGCCUAUAUCAGAACGAAUAAUUCACUGAUAGUUAACAGCAAUUUAGGAUUAAACCUAAAACAAGAGCCACUAUAAAUCAAACUGUUAGUCCAACACAGGUGUGCACUACGGGAAAGAUUAAAAGGGAUAAAAGGAACUCGGCAAACACAGACCCCGCCUGUUUACCAAAAACAUCACCUCUAGCAUUACUAGUAUUAGAGGCACUGCCUGCCCAGUGACAUAAGUUCAACGGCCGCGGUAUCCUGACCGUGCAAAGGUAGCAUAAUCACUUGUUCUCUAAAUAAGGACUUGUAUGAACGGCUUCACGAGGGUCUUACUGUCUCUCAUCCCCAAUCAGUGAAAUUGACCUUCCCGUGCAGAGGCGGGAAUAUUAUAAUAAGACGAGAAGACCCUAUGGAGCUUUAAUUAAUCAGCCCAAAUCAGGUUAACAUAAAUCAAAAAGAGACAACACAACCUAUCAUGAGCUGACAAUUUAGGUUGGGGUGACCUCGGAAUAUAAAAAAUCUUCCGAGUGAUAAACGUUUAGACAAACCAGUCAAAACAAUAUCAUCACUUAUUGAUCCAAAUAAUUGAUCAACGGAACAAGUUACCCUAGGGAUAACAGCGCAAUCCUAUUUUAGAGUCCAUAUCGACAAUAGGGUUUACGACCUCGAUGUUGGAUCAGGACAUCCUAGUGGUGCAGCCGCUACUAAGGGUUCGUUUGUUCAACGAUUAAUAGUCCUACGUGAUCUGAGUUCAGACCGGAGUAAUCCAGGUCGGUUUCUAUCUAUUUCACGCCCCUCCCAGUACGAAAGGAUAAGAGGGACGAGGCCCACUUUAAUACGCGCCUCCAAUAAACAAAUGCUAUACACUUAAUUAGUAAAUAUGUGAACACUANAUCCCUAGACCAGRGUUC